This 449-nucleotide ribosomal RNA is filed under the name uncultured bacterium. Its description in RNAcentral is "partial 16S ribosomal RNA". It matches the Rfam family "Bacterial small subunit ribosomal RNA", at positions 29 to 523 of the family's 1533-position model. The record is from RNAcentral.
AACGAACGCUGGCGGCAUGCCUAACACAUGCAAGUCGAACGAGACCUUCGGGUCUAGUGGCGCACGGGGGCGUAACGCGUGGGAAUCUACCCUUGGGUUCGGAAUAACAGUUAGAAAUGACUGCUAAUACCGGAUGAUGACGUAAGUCCAAAGAUUUAUCGCCCAAGGAUGAGCCCGCGUAAGAUUAGCUUGUUGGUGGGGUAAUGGCCUACCAAGGCGACGAUCUUUAGCUGGUCUGAGAGGAUGAUCAGCCACACUGGGACUGAGACACGGCCCAGACUCCUACGGGAGGCAGCAAUGGGGAAUAUUGGACAAUGGGCGAAAGCCUGAUCCAGCAAUGCCGCGUGAGUGAUGGAGGCCUUAGGGUUGUAAAGCUCUUUUACCAGGGAUGAUAAUGACAGUACCUGGAGAGUAAGCUCCGGCUAACUCCGUGCCAGCAGCCGCCGUAA